RNAcentral lists this ribosomal RNA (468 nucleotides) under uncultured bacterium. Its description in RNAcentral is "bacterial SSU rRNA". It matches the Rfam family "Bacterial small subunit ribosomal RNA", at positions 29 to 507 of the family's 1533-position model. The record is from RNAcentral.
AGUGAACGCUGGCGGCGUGCUUAACACAUGCAAGUCGAACGAGAACGGAUUAUAGCUUGCUAUAAUUGUCAGCUAAGUGGCGCACGGGUGAGUAAUGUAUAGGUAAUAUGCCUCUUACUAAGGGAUAACAAAUGGAAACGUUUGCUAAUACCUUAUACUCCUUAUUAACAGAAGUUAAUAAGGGAAAGAUUUAUUGGUAAGAGAUUAGCCUGUAUUGUAUCAGUUAGUUGGUGGGGUAAUGGCUUACCAAGACUAUGACACAUAACUGGUUUGAGAGGAUGAUCAGUCACACUGGAACUGAGACACGGUCCAGACUCCUACGGGAGGCAGCAGUGGGGAAUAUUGCACAAUGGACGAAAGUCUGAUGCAGCAACGCCGCGUGGAGGAUGACACAUUUCGGUGCGUAAACUCCUUUUAUAUGAGAAGAUAAUGACGGUACCUACAGAAUAAGUCCCGGCUAACUUCGUG